GAUGAACGCUGGCGGCGUGCCUAAUACAUGCAAGUCGAGCGAACAGAUGAGGAGCUUGCUCCUCUGACGUUAGCGGCGGACGGGUGAGUAACACGUGGAUAACCUACCUAUAAGACUGGGAUAACUUCGGGAAACCGUAGCUAAUACCGGAUAAUAUAUUGAACCGCAUGGUUCAAUAGUGAAAGACGGUUUUGCUGUCACUUAUAGAUUGAUCCGCGCCGCAUUAGCUAGUUGGUAAGGUAACGGCUUACCAAGGCAACGAUGCGUAGCCGACCUGAGAGGGUGAUCGGCCACACUGGAACUGAGACACGGUCCAGACUCCUACGGGAGGCAGCAGUAGGGAAUCUUACGCAAUGGGCGAAAGCCUGACGGAGCAACGCCGCGUGAGUGAUGAAGGUCUUCGGAUCGUAAAACUCUGUUAUUAGGGAAGAACAAAUGUGUAAGUAACUAUGCACGUCUUGACGGUACCUAAUCAGAAAGCCACGGCUAACUACGUG
This 497-nucleotide ribosomal RNA is filed under the name uncultured bacterium. RNAcentral describes it as "partial 16S ribosomal RNA". It matches the Rfam family "Bacterial small subunit ribosomal RNA", at positions 28 to 507 of the family's 1533-position model. The record is from RNAcentral.